This 345-nucleotide ribosomal RNA is filed under the name Candidatus Phytoplasma pyri. Its description in RNAcentral is "bacterial SSU rRNA". It matches the Rfam family "Bacterial small subunit ribosomal RNA", at positions 433 to 777 of the family's 1533-position model. The record is from RNAcentral. Lineage: Bacteria; Bacillati; Mycoplasmatota; Mollicutes; Acholeplasmatales; Acholeplasmataceae.
CUUUUAUUAAAGAAGAAAAAAUGAUGGAAAAAUCAUUCUGACGGUAUUUAAUGAAUAAGCCCCGGCUAACUAUGUGCCAGCAGCUGCGGUAAUACAUGGGGGGCAAGCGUUAUCCGGAUUUAUUGGGCGUAAAGGGUGCGUAGGCGGUUUAAUAAGUCUAUGGUCUAAGUUCAACGCUUAACGUUGUGAUGCUAUAGAAACUGUUUGACUAGAGUUGGAUAGAGGCAAGUGGAAUUCCAUGUGUAGCGGUAAAAUGCGUAAAGAUAUGGAGGAACACCAGUAGCGAAGGCGGCUUGCUGGGUCUUAACUGACGCUGAGGCACGAAAGCGUGGGGAGCAAACAGGA